RNAcentral lists this long non-coding RNA (763 nucleotides) under Marmota monax (woodchuck). Lineage: Eukaryota; Metazoa; Chordata; Mammalia; Rodentia; Sciuridae. The record is from RNAcentral.
CUACAGGUGCUUACUACUGUGCCUAGCCCAUUACCUUUCACAUCAUUUUCCCUCACCCAGUCAUCUGAUUUCUAUUCCUAUAGGUUUUUGGUGUUUUUUUUUUUUGGCCUAUUGUAGGGCUUUAUAAACAGAAGCACAGAGUGUGUAUCCUGUGUUUGGCUUCUUUAAUUCAGCACACUGUUUUUGUUGUUGUUGUUCAUGUGUCUGUGUAUAUCAAACAUAAAGUAUUGUAGAACAGUGUUUCAUGGGGUGUCCUAUACCACAGUUUAUUUAUCCAUUCAUCUGUUUAUGGGUAUUUGGGCUAAUUUCCACUUUUUGGAAGCUGCUAUGAAAAUUUACAGACAAGUCUUUUUGUGGAAAUAUAUUUGUAUUUUUCUUGGAUAAAUACCUGUGAAUGAGACAUUAGAUCCUGUGGUAAGUGAAUGUACUUGAUAUAGAAUGAGCUGCUUAACUGUUUUCCAAAGUGCCUGGACAAUUUUACACUUACCAGCAUUGUGUGAGAGUUCCAGUUACUCUUCAGCCUCAUUAGCACUUAGUAUUUUUAGUUUUUAAAAGAAUAAUUCUAGUAAGUGUGUAGUGGUGGGUGUCUCAUUGUGCAUUUUCUUGAUGAUUAAUGAUAUUGAACAUCUUUUCAUGUGCUUAUCUGCCAUCAUUAUCUCAUAUUUGGUGGAGUCUACUCAAAUCAUUUGCCUAUUUUUUUAAAAAAGUAGAAUGUUUGGUUUCAUUUUAUUGAGUCUUAAAUGUACUUUAUUUUGGAUACAAC